Molecule: unclassified non-coding RNA, 1492 nt
Filed under: Leishmania donovani
Lineage: Eukaryota; Euglenozoa; Kinetoplastea; Trypanosomatida; Trypanosomatidae
Description: gene:LdHU3.23.0710(CDS-product:trypanothione_synt hetase_putative)
Source: RNAcentral
AAUGACUUCUCUCCGCCAGCAUUGCUGACCAUCACUGCCUUGUGCCAUCACAUACCCACGCACGCGCAUCCGCACAUUUCCCCUCCCCCCAUUCCCAUUCGAUUGUGUGGAAGCAGUGCUGCGUCGCUCUCACGUUCUCUUCGGCCUUCUCGCUGUGCUGCCUCUGUGAGCGGAUGCUCACCUGCUGCUCAUCUAGUGCCGGUGCCACACACAAGCACAUUCUUCUCUCGAGUCGUGCACACGUCUCAGGCCAGUAUCUUGCGCUCAAUGGGAUGCACAUCAUCCACAGAAGCGAAAGCCAACGAAGCGCAUUCGUCCUCAGCUCGUCUAUCUCGAAGCCGCGUGACGAGGCCUCCCGAUCGGAUGGGCACGGCGCGCCGUCUGCGUCCGGCCGCGCGUGAAGAAGUCGACUUCAACCCUGAAAACGCCGCCGGUGCAGAGCGCCUCCGCCCGUCCGUCGUCACGGCCCGCAGCAGCAGCGGGGUUGGUGCCGUUACCCUGCAUGGUGUCUGUGGCUACACCCAAAACGGCGUGCCUGCGUACAGCAAUGGCACCUCGAACACAUGGACAAGCACGAAGAACUUCCGCGAAGGUAUCUUUAUGGGGUACCAGUGGCAGUGUGUCGAGUUUGCCAGGCGGUGGCUCUGGGUGACGCACCGACUGUUGCUGCCAGAGCGUAGCUGCGCUUACUGCUUUUCUAGCUGCACGUACGCAUACCGACUCAAGAAGGACCCAUCACCCACCUCGCAGCGCGCACGUGCGGCCAUGCACGGGACUGCGGCAGAGACCGGUGCCGGCUCGCCAUCGUCCUUCAAGGAAGUGAAUGCCGCGACAGAGGUGAAGCUCCUUGGACCGUACACGAACAGAGACGCCUGGGAAAAGGUGCCCGCCAAGUUCGUGAAGCAAGGCUCACUGGUGCCUCCGGUGGCGGACAGCUUGAUUGUCUACCCGAUGAGCUGGGGCAGCCCGUGGGGACACAUCGGUGUCAUCACCGCCGUUGACCUGGAUCGAAACUGUGUCUACGUUGCUGAUCAAAACCGCUACUUUCACGACUGGAACGGCAAGUCGUACAGCGCCGUCUUUCGGCUGGACUGCGACAAGGGUCGAUUCUACAUACGCGACCACGAGAGCGAGUGCAUGGGGUGGCUGACAUUUCCAACCGCGGUGGAGGGGCACGACGUGUGAUGUGCAGGUGACCAGGCGCCACGGAAGACAUGCAAGCGACAGCAAGAAGCGGGGGCUUAAAAGCGAAAUGAAGCGCCCACACACACACACACACACACGCGCACACACCACCCCUCCCUUCCCUCCUCCCAGUGCACACAUAGUGUGCGUCUCGUGGCGUCUGCCCCCCCCCCUCCGCCCCCACUCCCUGCAAGCGCCUUCUUGGUCGCAUCACUGCUUUGGAUUGCUCUUCCGCUGUCUAUGCGCAUGCUUCAGCCCCCCCCCUCCCCUCCCUCACGUCUCGGCCUGUCCACCGGCCAACGCUUUG